Long non-coding RNA from Fundulus heteroclitus (mummichog), 828 nucleotides. RefSeq lists it as uncharacterized. The transcript has 3 exons. The record is from RefSeq and is a predicted model, not a curated record. NCBI's taxonomy places the organism in Eukaryota, Metazoa, Chordata, Actinopteri, Cyprinodontiformes, Fundulidae.
UGGAUUUACCAAAGCUGGUCCUUGUUUGUGUAACGAAGAGGAAAUCAAAUCCAGAUUAAACCCCAGAUAGAUUCUGUCAGCGUUUCAUCCAGGGCUCCUCAAACAAGAAAAACAGCGGCUGCAGCUGCAUGUCUUGCUUUUACAGUAUUGCAACAGAAGAACACAUGACCGGAAGUACGACAUUGUGCUUGCAGUAUGGAGAAUGGGAAUGGAGCCGAGCAAGUCAGCAACGUCCAGUGGAGGUGCGAAAAGAAAGAUUAAGUAACCCUAAUCCCGCAGGUCUUCGACCAUGAAGAGCUGUCACUUUACUGCGAGGCGUUGCAGGACUGUUGGCUCUUAAAGGAGCUGUGACAAUCUUGCCUUCUGAUAGUUCCAUGGUACUGCUGGCAGAUGGCAUAAAAAUGUUUGUUUCUGCUGAUCGCACCCGGUGCAAAGUUCUUUUAAGGCUCAAAAGGGACUAACUGUGACGUGGCAGCUUUGAUUUGCCUCACCUCUGCUGCCUGCACUUCCCAGCCAGCCUGAUUGAUCACACCUGCUCACAAUAAUCACCUCAUCCUGUGUGAAUUUAAUCAGUCUGUUGCCUUCCUGCCAUGCCAGUUUGUCUUUGUUUCCACCAGCAAGCAUUCCAGCCUUUUUCCGCACGCUUUCUAGACUGAUACCUCUGCCAUCUUGACUGAUUCCAUGAGUUCUGACCAUUGGACUGUUAUUAAACCACUGAAUUUUGGAAACUAUAGGUUGUCAUUUGAGUCCUGCCUGCCCAAAUUGUUGUCACACUAGCACUAUCAGGACAAACGCUUGGCAUAUAUGGUUUAAUUUGAAUAUGAAUGU